Molecule: ribosomal RNA, 492 nt
Filed under: uncultured bacterium
Lineage: Bacteria
Description: bacterial SSU rRNA
Rfam family: Bacterial small subunit ribosomal RNA
Source: RNAcentral
GAUGAACGCUGGCGGCGUGCUUAACACAUGCAAGUCGAGGGGAAACGAUAGAGAAAGCUUGCUUUUUCUAGGCGUCGACCGGCGCACGGGUGAGUAACGCGUAUCCAACCUGCCCACCACUUGGGGAUAACCUUGCGAAAGUAAGACUAAUACCCAAUGACGUCUCUAGAAGACAUCUGAAAGAGAUUAAAGAUUUAUCGGUGAUGGAUGGGGAUGCGUCUGAUUAGCUUGUUGGCGGGGUAACGGCCCACCAAGGCGACGAUCAGUAGGGGUUCUGAGAGGAAGGUCCCCCACAUUGGAACUGAGACACGGUCCAAACUCCUACGGGAGGCAGCAGUGAGGAAUAUUGGUCAAUGGACGAGAGUCUGAACCAGCCAAGUAGCGUGCAGGAUGACGGCCCUAUGGGUUGUAAACUGCUUUUAUAAGGGAAUAAAGUGGGAGUCGUGACUCUUUUGCAUGUACCUUAUGAAUAAGGACCGGCUAAUUCCGUAG